ACCACACAGCCUCAUCUAUAGCUGUACAUGCGUGUGUGUGUGCUCAGUUGCUAUAGUUGUGUCUGACUCUUUGAGACACAGUGGACUGUAGUCUGCCAGGCGCUUCUGUAGGCAAGAGUACUGGAGUGGGUUGCCAUGCCCUCCUGUAGGGGAUCUUCCUGACCCAGGGAUUGAACCUGAGUCUUCUGCAUUGCAGGCGGAUUCUUAACUGCUAAGCUACCAGGGAAGCCCCCAUAGCUGUACAUGAGACUGUAAACCAUAGGAAUGAUUUAGCGAGCUGGCAUCUCUUUGUAUGCAAAGGAGAGAAAGGUUCCUGAAGAAGAAUAGCAUUAAAGACAAAGAGACCUGAAGAAGUGGUGUUUAAAGGCCGCAUGAGUAACCUGCGUGCAGAGGGGUCUACUUAGGGGUGAGGCAAAGCUGCUUCUCUAUUUGUGUAGACCAGGCCCUGCGCAAGGAGGCGUUACGCUGUUACAUGAAUGGUGCUCCCUGGAGUUGUGCAAUAUAUGGCAGACCUGCACAGAUGAGCUCUUUCUUGUGAAAGCCUAAUUGUUAGAUGCUCUCCCUUGGGAGCUGAAAGACAGACUCCAUGUUCAUAGUUCACUCAAAGUCUGACCAGUCUAAAUGACCAUUUCCUUUUGCGUUUUCUGUAAUUCUUCAACAAAGCCAUGCACAUAUAAUUGCAGUGUGGAGUGCUAUUGUGGUGGCCAAGAAAGAGGAGAGAGAUGUGUUGUCCCACCUUGAUUCGCCCUGGGUUCCAGUAGAAGACGGAUAAUGACGUCCUGGAUGGGAUGUGGUUCCAGAUCCGUAGGGUGACCAGAGGCUUCACGAAUCCCGCUGGGCCUGGUGCCUGGGUGCUGCAUCCUGGGGAGACGAGGGUAAGCGGAGGGUGGGGCUCUCUUUCUUGGGGACCUUGACCCCCCUCCCUUUCUCUCCCCUCCCGGGUUGCCGGGGGCCCAGCCACGUGCAGGCUGUGGC
Molecule: long non-coding RNA, 975 nt
Filed under: Bos grunniens (domestic yak)
Lineage: Eukaryota; Metazoa; Chordata; Mammalia; Artiodactyla; Bovidae
Description: lncRNA (ENSBGRG00000002200.1)
Source: RNAcentral